UUCUGGCUCAGAACGAGCGCUGGCGGCGUGCUUAACACAUGCAAGUCGAACGCGAAAGGGACUUCGGUCCUGAGUAAAGUGGCGCACGGGUGAGUAACGCGUAGAUAACCUGUCUUCAUGUCUGGAAUAAUACGCCAAAGGGGUACUAAUACCGGAUAUUCUUGCUUUUCAUAAGUUAUGCAAGCAAAGGUGGCCUCUGCAUAUGCUACUGCAUGAAGAGGGGUCUGCGUACCAUUAGCUAGUAGGUGGGGUAAUGGCCUACCUAGGCGACGAUGGUUAGCGGGUCUGAGAGGAUGAUCCGCCACACUGGCACUGGAACACGGGCCAGACUCCUACGGGAGGCAGCAGUGAGGAAUAUUGCGCAAUGGGGGAAACCCUGACGCCAGCGACGCCGCGUGAGUGAGGAAGGCCUUCGGGUCGUAAAGCUCUGUCCUAUGGGAAGAUAAUGACGGUACCAUAGGAGGAAGCCCCGGCUAACUACGUGCCAGCAGCGGC
This 495-nucleotide ribosomal RNA is filed under the name uncultured bacterium. RNAcentral describes it as "bacterial SSU rRNA". It matches the Rfam family "Bacterial small subunit ribosomal RNA", at positions 17 to 518 of the family's 1533-position model. The record is from RNAcentral.